CCCUCUUUUUCGCGCUUUCCUCGGAAUUACUGGGCGUAAAGCGCGCGUAGGCGGCUUUUCAAGUCGAUUGUGAAAUCCCCGGGCUUAACCUGGGAACUGCAGUCGAGACUGUCUAGCUAGAGUAUGGGAGAGGGAAGUGGAAUUUCAGGUGUAGCGGUGAAAUGCGUAGAUAUCUGAAGGAACAUCAGUGGCGAAAGCGACUUCCUGGACCAAUACUGACGCUCAUGUGCGAAAGCGUGGGGAGCAAACAGGA
RNAcentral lists this ribosomal RNA (253 nucleotides) under uncultured prokaryote. RNAcentral describes it as "partial 16S ribosomal RNA". It matches the Rfam family "Bacterial small subunit ribosomal RNA", at positions 547 to 777 of the family's 1533-position model. The record is from RNAcentral.